This 72-nucleotide transfer RNA is filed under the name Candidatus Elarobacter sp. RNAcentral's name for it is "tRNA-Val". It matches the Rfam family "tRNA". From Rfam's summary of the family: Transfer RNA (tRNA) molecules are approximately 80 nucleotides in length. Their secondary structure includes four short double-helical elements and three loops (D, anti-codon, and T loops). The record is from RNAcentral. Lineage: Bacteria; Bacillati; Vulcanimicrobiota; Vulcanimicrobiia; Vulcanimicrobiales; Vulcanimicrobiaceae.
GGGCGAUUAGCUCAGCGGGAGAGCAGCUCCUUUACACGGAGAAGGCCGGCGGUUCGAAUCCGUCAUCGCCCA